Molecule: ribosomal RNA, 840 nt
Filed under: Escherichia fergusonii
Lineage: Bacteria; Pseudomonadati; Pseudomonadota; Gammaproteobacteria; Enterobacterales; Enterobacteriaceae
Description: bacterial SSU rRNA
Rfam family: Bacterial small subunit ribosomal RNA
Source: RNAcentral
AAGAGGGGGACCUUCGGGCCUCUUGCCAUCGGAUGUGCCCAGAUGGGAUUAGCUUGUUGGUGGGGUAACGGCUCACCUAGGCGACGAUCCCUAGCUGGUCUGAGAGGAUGACCAGCCACACUGGAACUGAGACACGGUCCAGACUCCUACGGGAGGCAGCAGUGGGGAAUAUUGCACAAUGGGCGCAAGCCUGAUGCAGCCAUGCCGCGUGUAUGAAGAAGGCCUUCGGGUUGUAAAGUACUUUCAGCGGGGAGGAAGGGAGUAAAGUUAAUACCUUUGCUCAUUGACGUUACCCGCAAAAAAAGCACCGGCUAACUCCGUGCCACCAGCCGCGGUAAUACGGAGGGUGCAAAGCGUUAAUCGGAAUUACUGGGCGUAAAGCGCACGCAGGCGGUUUGUUAAGUCAGAUGUGAAAUCCCCGGGCUCAACCUGGGAACUGCAUCUGAUACUGGCAAGCUUGAGUCUCGUAGAGGGGGGUAGAAUUCCAGGUGUAGCGGUGAAAUGCGUAGAGAUCUGGAGGAAUACCGGUGGCGAAGGCGGCCCCCUGGACGAAGACUGACGCUCAGGUGCGAAAGCGUGGGGAGCAAACAGGAUUAGAUACCCUGGUAGUCCACGCCGUAAACGAUGUCGACUUGGAGUGUGCCCUUGAGGCGUGGCUUCCGGAGCUAACGCGUUAGUCGACCGCCUGGGGGAGUACGGCCGCAAGGUUAAAACUCAAAUGAAUUGACGGGGGCCCGCACAGCGGUGGAGCAUGUGGUUUAUUUCGAUGCAACGCGAGAUCUUACUGGUCUGACAUCACGGAAGUUUCAGAGAUGAGAAUGUGCUCGGACGUGAAGACAG